RNAcentral lists this small RNA (60 nucleotides) under Arabidopsis thaliana (thale cress). RNAcentral's name for it is "ATSL088990". The record is from RNAcentral. Lineage: Eukaryota; Viridiplantae; Streptophyta; Magnoliopsida; Brassicales; Brassicaceae.
UUAAGUCAUAUUCACUCCAAAACACUAACCAACCUUCUUCUUGCUUCUCAAAGCUUUCCA